Molecule: unclassified non-coding RNA, 223 nt
Filed under: Hevea brasiliensis (rubber tree)
Lineage: Eukaryota; Viridiplantae; Streptophyta; Magnoliopsida; Malpighiales; Euphorbiaceae
Source: RNAcentral
UUCUUUUUUCUUGUUUUUUUUUUUCAGUUGAUUUUGAUGUGGGCUAGGUUUUUGUCGGCUCUUCAUUUUCAAACUGAUUUUGUGCAAACUGGUGAAUUCGUUGAGUGGGUCUGUUUUGGAUUAAGUGAUUGUAUUAAAUUUGUAAUGGGUUUUGCCAAAAUGCCUUGAAGUUUGAUAUAGGGGGUUUGUGGAUCUGAAGUUUAGGCAGUAACUGACAUGCAGU